GAUGAACGCUGGCGGCGUGCUUAAUACAUGCAAGUCGAACGGAAAGGCCCUGCUUUUGUUGGGUUCUCGAUUGGCGAACGGGUGAGUAUCACGUGUGUAACCUGUCCUUGACUUUGUGAUAUCUUCAGGAAACAGGGGCUCAUACCGCAUAGGAGCUCCUGCUGCAUGGUGUGGGUUGGAAAGAUUCGGCGGUUGGGGAUGGACUCGCGGCUUAUCAGCUUGUUGGUGGGGUAGUGGCUUACCAAGGCUUUGACGGGUAGCCGGCCUGAGAGGGUGACCGGCCACAUUGGGACUGAGAUACGGCCCAGACUCCUACGGGAGGCAGCAGUGGGGAAUAUUGCACAAUGGGCGGAAGCCUGAUGCAGCAACGCCGCGUGCGGGAUGACGGCCUUCGGGUUGUAAACCGCUUUCGCCUGUGACGAAGCGUGAGUGACGGUAAUGGGUAAAGAAGCACCGGCUAACUACGUG
Molecule: ribosomal RNA, 468 nt
Filed under: uncultured bacterium
Lineage: Bacteria
Description: partial 16S ribosomal RNA
Rfam family: Bacterial small subunit ribosomal RNA
Source: RNAcentral